CUGACUUGGAAAGUACACAAUCUUUCUGAGUUUGUGCUGCCAGCUGCAAUUUUUAAAAUGUUUUGCUUGUUUGUUUUUGGGUUUUUGGUUUGUUUUUUUUGUUUGUUUGUUUGUUUGUUUUGUUUUGCUUCUGGACAUUCAAAAGUGCACCAAAGAGUUAUACACUAAACAGGCAGAAGGUUGCAAAGGCAGCUGCAAAAAUUAAUGUGAUGCUUCUGUUGCUUCCAGGUAAUACUAAGCCAAGAUUGCAUUCCUGCAUUUGUAUGUUGUUAGAAGCAAAGAUGUCCCAUUAUUUUCAAGAUGGAAAUACUUCAAUGUCAGAGUUAUAUUCUUGGAAUUUCAUCUUGGACUUUCACGAUGUUUAACUGGAGACAUGGAGAAGUGAUGACUGUGGCUCUUCCAAGGAGACAGGAAAUCGGAUUGUGAGCAAUCUCACAGCAUGAACACCAAGUCUCUGAUGUCUGACCACUAACAAGUCAUACAUCAGGACAUUUCCAGACACUGGAAACUCACCCUACGCAAGUGAGCCAGCUGGCCAGCUAUCUGAGUGAUGUGCUGAAAAACAUGUGUUGUCACACUGAUGAAGGAAAA
This is a long non-coding RNA of Passer montanus (Eurasian tree sparrow), 591 nucleotides long. RefSeq lists it as uncharacterized. The record is from RefSeq and is a predicted model, not a curated record. The transcript is spliced from 3 exons. NCBI's taxonomy places the organism in Eukaryota, Metazoa, Chordata, Aves, Passeriformes, Passeridae.